Molecule: ribosomal RNA, 253 nt
Filed under: uncultured bacterium
Lineage: Bacteria
Description: partial 16S ribosomal RNA
Rfam family: Bacterial small subunit ribosomal RNA
Source: RNAcentral
GACAGAGGGGGCAAGCGUUGCUCGGAAUCACUGGGCGUAAAGGGCGCGUAGGCGGGAUGGCAAGUCGGUCGUGAAAUCCUUCGGCUCAACCGAAGAACGUCGGCCGAUACUGCUGUUCUUGAGGGAUGCAGAGGAGAUUGGAAUUCCAGGUGGAGCGGUGAAAUGCGUAGAGAUCUGGAAGAACACCAAAGGCGAAGGCAGCGUCCUGGCAAGCAACUGACGCCCAUGUGCGAAAGCUAGGGGAGCGAACGGG